GAUGAACGCUGGCGGCGUGCCUAAUACAUGCAAGUCGAGCGAACAGAUGAGGAGCUUGCUCCUCUGACGUUAGCGGCGGACGGGUGAGUAACACGUGGAUAACCUACCUAUAAGACUGGGAUAACUUCGGGAAACCGGAGCUAAUACCGGAUAAUAUAUUGAACCGCAUGGUUCAAUAGUGAAAGACGGUUUUGCUGUCACUUAUAGAUGGAUCCGCGCCGCAUUAGCUAGUUGGUAAGGUAACGGCUUACCAAGGCGACGAUGCGUAGCCGACCUGAGAGGGUGAUCGGCCACACUGGAACUGAGACACGGUCCAGACUCCUACGGGAGGCAGCAGUAGGGAAUCUUCCGCAAUGGGCGAAAGCCUGACGGAGCAACGCCGCGUGAGUGAUGAAGGUCUUCGGAUCGUAAAACUCUGUUAUUAGGGAAGAACAAAUGUGUAAGUAACGAUGCACGUCUUGACGGUACCUAAUCAGAAAGCCACGGCUAACUACGU
This 496-nucleotide ribosomal RNA is filed under the name uncultured bacterium. RNAcentral describes it as "partial 16S ribosomal RNA". It matches the Rfam family "Bacterial small subunit ribosomal RNA", at positions 28 to 506 of the family's 1533-position model. The record is from RNAcentral.